AGAGUUUGAUCCUGGCUCAGGAUGAACGCUAGCUACAGGCUUAACACAUGCAAGUCGAGGGGCAGCAUUUCAGUUUGCUUGCAAACUGGAGAUGGCGACCGGCGCACGGGUGAGUAACACGUAUCCAACCUGCCGAUAACUCGGGGGAUAGCCUUUCGAAAGAAAGAUUAAUACCCGAUGGUAUAAUCAGACCGCAUGGUCUUGUUAUUAAAGAAUUUCGGUUAUCGAUGGGGAUGCGUUCCAUUAGGCAGUUGGUGAGGUAACGGCUCACCAAACCUUCGAUGGAUAGGGGUUCUGAGAGGAAGGUCCCCCACAUUGGAACUGAGACACGGUCCAAACUCCUACGUGAGGCAGCAGUGAGGAAUAUUGGUCAAUGGGCGCAGGCCUGAACCAGCCAAGUAGCGUGAAGGAUGACUGCCCUAUGGGUUGUAAACUUCUUUUAUAUGGGAAUAAAGUUUUCCACGUGUGGAAUUUUGUAUGUACCAUAUGAAUAAGGAUCGGCUAACUCCGUGCCAGCAGCCGCGGUAAUACGGAGGAUCCGAGCGUUAUCCGGAUUUAUUGGGUUUAAAGGGAGCGUAGGUGGACAGUUAAGUCAGUUGUGAAAGUUUGCGGCUCAACCGUAAAAUUGCAGUUGAUACUGGCUGUCUUGAGUACAGUAGAGGUGGGCGGAAUUCGUGGUGUAGCGGUGAAAUGCUUAGAUAUCACGAAGAACUCCGAUUGCGAAGGCAGCUCACUGGACUGCAACUGACACUGAUGCUCGAAAGUGUGGGUAUCAAACAGGAUUAGAUACCCUGGUAGUCCACACAGUAAACGAUGAAUACUCGCUGUUUGCGAUAUACAGUAAGCGGCCAAGCGAAAGCAUUAAGUAUUCCACCUGGGGAGUACGCCGGCAACGGUGAAACUCAAAGGAAUUGACGGGGGCCCGCACAAGCGGAGGAACAUGUGGUUUAAUUCGAUGAUACGCGAGGAACCUUACCCGGGCUUAAAUUGCAUUUGAAUAUAUUGGAAACAGUAUAGCCGUAAGGCAAAUGUGAAGGUGCUGCAUGGUUGUCGUCAGCUCGUGCCGUGAGGUGUCGGCUUAAGUGCCAUAACGAGCGCAACCCUUAUCUUUAGUUACUAACAGGUUAUGCUGAGGACUCUAGAGAGACUGCCGUCGUAAGAUGUGAGGAAGGUGGGGAUGACGUCAAAUCAGCACGGCCCUUACGUCCGGGGCUACACACGUGUUACAAUGGGGGGUACAGAAGGCAGCUACCUGGUGACAGGAUGCUAAUCCCAAAAGCCUCUCUCAGUUCGGAUCGAAGUCUGCAACCCGACUUCGUGAAGCUGGAUUCGCUAGUAAUCGCGCAUCAGCCAUGGCGCGGUGAAUACGUUCCCGGGCCUUGUACUCACCGCCCGUCA
RNAcentral lists this ribosomal RNA (1398 nucleotides) under uncultured bacterium. RNAcentral describes it as "16S ribosomal RNA". It matches the Rfam family "Bacterial small subunit ribosomal RNA". The record is from RNAcentral.